This 377-nucleotide ribosomal RNA is filed under the name uncultured bacterium. RNAcentral's name for it is "bacterial SSU rRNA". It matches the Rfam family "Bacterial small subunit ribosomal RNA", at positions 524 to 898 of the family's 1533-position model. The record is from RNAcentral.
UACGUAGGGUGCAAGCGUUGUCCGGAAUUAUUGGGCGUAAAGAGCUCGUAGGCGGUCUGUUACGUCGGCUGUGAAAACCUGGGGCUCAACUCCGGGCCUGCAGCCGAUACGGGCAGACUAGAAUUCGGUAGGGGAGACUGGAAUUCCUGGUGUAGCGGUGAAAUGCGCAGAUAUCAGGAGGAACACCGGUGGCGAAGGCGGGUCUCUGGGCCGAUAUUGACGCUGAGGAGCGAAAGCGUGGGGAGCGAACAGGAUUAGAUACCCUGGUAGUCCACGCCGUAAACGUUGGGCGCUAGGUGUGGGCUCCAUUCCACGGAGUCUGUGCCGCAGCUAACGCAUUAAGCGCCCCGCCUGGGGAGUACGGCCGCAAGGCUAAA